This 111-nucleotide ribosomal RNA is filed under the name Acanthosepion pharaonis. The record is from RNAcentral. Lineage: Eukaryota; Metazoa; Mollusca; Cephalopoda; Sepiida; Sepiidae.
AUACGGCAAUAUCAGGUUGAAACCCCGGUUCUCGUACGGUCAUAGAAGUUAAGCAACGUCGAGUCUGGUCGGUAUCUAGAUGGGUGACCGCCUUGGAAAACCAAUGCUGUA